RNAcentral lists this ribosomal RNA (484 nucleotides) under uncultured bacterium. Its description in RNAcentral is "partial 16S ribosomal RNA". It matches the Rfam family "Bacterial small subunit ribosomal RNA", at positions 30 to 507 of the family's 1533-position model. The record is from RNAcentral.
AUUGAACGCUGGCGGCAGGCCUAACACAUGCAAGUCGAGCGGAUGAAGGGAGCUUGCUCCUGGAUUCAGCGGCGGACGGGUGAGUAAUGCCUAGGAAUCUGCCUGGUAGUGGGGGAUAACGUCCGGAAACGGGCGCUAAUACCGCAUACGUCCUGAGGGAGAAAGUGGGGGAUCUUCGGACCUCACGCUAUCAGAUGAGCCUAGGUCGGAUUAGCUAGUUGGUGGGGUAAAGGCCUACCAAGGCGACGAUCCGUAACUGGUCUGAGAGGAUGAUCAGUCACACUAGAACUGAGACACGGUCCAGACUCCUACGGGAGGCAGCAGUGGGGAAUAUUGGACAAUGGGCGAAAGCCUGAUCCAGCCAUGCCGCGUGUGUGAAGAAGGUCUUCGGAUUGUAAAGCACUUUAAGUUGGGAGGAAGGGCAGUAAGUUAAUACCUUGCUGUUUUGACGGUACCAACAGAAUAAGCACCGGCUAACUUCGUG